CGGGGUAUAGCUCAAUUGGCUAGAGCGCCUGCUUUGGGAGCAGGAGGCUGGGGGUUCAAGUCCCUCUACCCCGA
This 74-nucleotide transfer RNA is filed under the name Elusimicrobia bacterium CG1_02_63_36. RNAcentral describes it as "tRNA-Pro". It matches the Rfam family "tRNA". From Rfam's summary of the family: Transfer RNA (tRNA) molecules are approximately 80 nucleotides in length. Their secondary structure includes four short double-helical elements and three loops (D, anti-codon, and T loops). RNAcentral also lists the same sequence under 3 other names. Lineage: Bacteria; Pseudomonadati; Elusimicrobiota. The record is from RNAcentral.